UACGACCAUAGGCGAAAAUCAGCGAACUGGGUCCCGUCCGAUCCCCACACGUUAAUCCUUCGACCGGCGGACUAGUAGUUAGGUGGGUGACCACUGGCGAAUCCCCGCUGUCGUAUG
Molecule: non-coding RNA, 117 nt
Organism: Curvularia clavata
Lineage: Eukaryota; Fungi; Ascomycota; Dothideomycetes; Pleosporales; Pleosporaceae
Source: the annotation of a GenBank genome assembly